Molecule: long non-coding RNA, 530 nt
Organism: Balaenoptera acutorostrata (minke whale)
Lineage: Eukaryota; Metazoa; Chordata; Mammalia; Artiodactyla; Balaenopteridae
Exons: 3
Source: RefSeq, a predicted model, not a curated record
UGGAAUCAGAACAAACUUCACCCUAGUCCUGUUUCAAUUGCCAGCACUAUUGACGCCCCUACUUUUACUGCGUUAAUGUAGCCAGAUCAAGCCUGAGACAUCCCAAGCCAAAGACAUGGCCCUGGAGGAGGUGAGCGGCCCAAGGCCUCAGGCAGCGGCUCUCAAUGCUGGCAGGCGGCCCAGAGACCACAGGGGAACUUGAGAGUAUUGCCUGAGCCAGCCCCAUUGCUCCCACCUGUACUCCCCAGGUCUCACUGGUGAGAGAGUGGCCUGGCGUGGGUAUUUGUCAGACGCCUCUCAUGGGCCCUCAGAGGCCCUCAGCCCAGCUGCCAAAUCCUGUGGAGCCCGCCCGUGACCGCCUGCCCUGGGGGCCUGGAGUGUUUUGAAGAUGACAAAUCAGAGGCAGCUCAGCCUGAAGUCUGCAUGCCUGUCGGGAGAGCUGGCAGGUGCCCGAGCCCAGGUGGGGUUUUUUACAUUACAUGACACACGGAUGAGAAGGCCAUGGGUGCAUCUGGGGCCUGGCGGGGUGA